Molecule: long non-coding RNA, 232 nt
Filed under: Olea europaea (common olive)
Lineage: Eukaryota; Viridiplantae; Streptophyta; Magnoliopsida; Lamiales; Oleaceae
Description: long non-coding RNA (OEUR_LNC011868)
Source: RNAcentral
CAUAUGUUCAAGGCGUAACAACCGAAGGGUUGGGAUCAUUUGGGUAAAAUCCCCAGUUACCUCGAAACGAACAAAAUACUCCAUUUCCAAUUAUAAACUUGGGUAGGGAUGAUUACCAGUUCUGGGUAGGUCCUAGAAAAGAGAGGAGAAAAGGAAUAAGAUCCCUUUUGAGGGUUCGUUGUAUUUCCCAAUGGCAUGGGACGGUACAUUGAACGGAAUGACUCCAACAAAA